Adelges cooleyi (spruce gall adelgid) is the source of this 883-nucleotide long non-coding RNA. RefSeq lists it as uncharacterized. The transcript has 3 exons. The record is from RefSeq and is a predicted model, not a curated record. NCBI's taxonomy places the organism in Eukaryota, Metazoa, Arthropoda, Insecta, Hemiptera, Adelgidae.
AGCAUAUCACCACUAUCAUGCAUACACCGUGCUGUAGGUGAACCGUAGUUGUAUCAGCUGUAUUGUAUAACAUUAUAAUAUUGUACCUAUGAUGGACGCACAGAUAUCGAAUAAGACAGCCUUGAGUAGUACACUGUGCACAAUGCCGCUGUGUCUGCGGACAAAAUAUAUAACAAACCGACUGGGACUUACAAAGGAAAACGGAAGUAGAGUGUUAAAACAAUGGCUUUCCGAACGGCCAGCAGAAAACUUUAUCGUCCCGAGGUCGUGGAUCGCCAGAAGACCUUCUCGUUUUUUUGUGAUUUUUUAUACGAUUAUAAAACUCACACAGCACCAAAAGUUAGCGACGGUACGGCCAAAAAGAGGAUUAGUCAAACCGCAAUAUUAAUUACUAAUAAUAGUAGGUUGUAAUAGAGAAACUCUACAGCUCUCUAGGAUCUAGGUUGAAACAAUCGCGUUACGACGCUUACAACAACACAAACAAACCACACCACAAUAACAACAAGUACCCUACCUACCGAUUAAACGGAUCAUGGAAUCGAAUCCACUGCUGGGAUCCAAGGUCAGCUACCGUGGUACGAAUUUAUACUUAAUUUUGUUUUUACCAUCUUAAAAAAUGCAAGAUGUAUAUUAUGUAUGUUUAUGAUAAUUGAGUCAACUAUUCUACGCACACAAAUCGAAUCUGUUCAAAUAUAAUAUUAUUUCAUAUAUUUGUUUACUUGAAAACGACAGAAGAAGAUGUCUGUAACUUUAGAUGUAAAAUCUAAACCGCCCUAUUUUGAUAGAAAUAGUCCAAUUUUGGAAAUGUACAGAAAAUAAUAUUAUAAGCCAAAGUCAUCAGUUUUUGUCUUCCAACUCUCGUGGAAAAAUUGUAGUUCUGUUG